RNAcentral lists this ribosomal RNA (253 nucleotides) under uncultured bacterium. RNAcentral's name for it is "partial 16S ribosomal RNA". It matches the Rfam family "Bacterial small subunit ribosomal RNA", at positions 524 to 776 of the family's 1533-position model. The record is from RNAcentral.
GACAGAGGGUGCAAACGUUGCUCGGAAUUACUGGGCGUAAAGCGCGUGUAGGCGGGCUGGUAAGUCGGACGUGAAAUCCCUGGGCUCAACCCAGGAACUGCAUCCGAAACUGUCAGUCUGGAGUGGUGGAGAGGGAAGCAGAAUUCCUGGUGUAGAGGUGAAAUUCGUAGAUAUCAGGAGGAACACCGGUGGCGAAGGCGGCUUCCUGGACACUAACUGACGCUGAGACGCGAAAGCGUGGGGAGCAAACAGG